AAAAAGUUGACUAUUAUUUAAAAAUUUACUUUUAAAAAUUUUUUAAAUUUUUUUUGGGAAUUUAUUUUACAGAUUUUUUUAGAAUUUUUGAAAUUUUCAUGUGUAGUAAAUUUUUAAAAAUUAGGAACAUGAAUUUGAAACUUUUUGAAUUUGUAUGUUUGUAUUAGAAAAAUGUCCAAAAUUGUAGGAAUUAAAUUAGGGUUUUCUUCAUUGUGAAUAGAGUUAAAAGUUUAUGUAGAAAGAAAGUUUUGAUUAAGGCUAAAUUACAAAAAAAAAUUCUGUAAAUAUUCGCUUUUUUUACUUUUUCUUUCAAAUUUUUAAAAAUCUAUAUUUUGCCUUCUUAAAAUUUUAAAAAAAUUUUUAGGAGAGUACGGUGUUAAUGGAGAUGGCAAAAUUACCAAAUUACCCUUAUUUCUUCUAUAAGAAAAAAAGAAUUUUAAUAUAUUUUCAGUCAUUUUGAAGGGUAAUUUCGAUAUAAAUUAUAAGAAAUGAACGGAUUUGUGACAGAACCCUAACGGAGGGAGGCAAAAUGCAACAAUUUAAAAUAUUGAGAGGGUAAAAUAUAGGUUGAAAGUUAGGGAUGGAAAGUGAAAUGGCAAGUAUUUAUAAUUUUUUUUUUGUAAUUUAGCCUUUGAUUUAUAAAAAAUUUAUUGUUUGUCUGGUUUUUUUUUUUUUAUUGCCUUCACAGUCUUAUCCUACAAUAUCCCUACAAUAGCAUUUCAGCCUCUAUUAGGAUGGAUAUAAUAAGAGAAACUAGGCUGGAAUACUAUAAAUAGCACCAAACUAUUGGUGCUAUUAGGUUUUCAGUCCUUGGAUGAAAAAAUUUACGGUUAAGAUGAUGUGAGCCCCCUAGGAUUGAGUAAGUUAUUUGUUGAAUAGUAUAAUCUAACGGAUAAAAAUAGUCAAAGGAUUAAAUCUAACGGCAGAAAACUCGGUAGCACCAAUCGCUUGGUGCUAUCGAUAGUAUCCUAGCCGGUCUCUGUAUAAGAGAUGUAAUAACGAAACAUUUUUUAACUUUGGA
Molecule: long non-coding RNA, 1021 nt
Filed under: Ananas comosus (pineapple)
Lineage: Eukaryota; Viridiplantae; Streptophyta; Magnoliopsida; Poales; Bromeliaceae
Description: long non-coding RNA (ACOM_LNC007599)
Source: RNAcentral